This is a long non-coding RNA of Photinus pyralis (common eastern firefly), 475 nucleotides long. RefSeq lists it as uncharacterized. NCBI's taxonomy places the organism in Eukaryota, Metazoa, Arthropoda, Insecta, Coleoptera, Lampyridae. The transcript has 2 exons. The record is from RefSeq and is a predicted model, not a curated record.
GCGCAACAGCGAAGCGGUUGUCAACUUGUUUUAUAAAUUUUGAAAAAUAACGGUUUUGUUUUUGUGGUAUGUGGCACGUGUGUGGUGACAGUUGGAGAAGAUAUUUUAAGGUGAUGUGUGUCACUUGUGUAAUUUUAUAGAGCGAGUUAGUCCACAAUUCUUAAUUUGUCCUUUUAUUAGUAGUUUUUACCUUGUGUGUAACACAAAUUGUUGAUACCAAAAUGGCGAAUGGAUAUGAAAGAUCCCACUUAUAUAAAGUUCGCGUUCGGACUUCUACCAUUUUAGAAGAAAUGGAGAAAGUGACAGAUAAUCUUCGUCGUUCAUCACGGUGGUCGAUAUUGUUACAAAGACGAAACAUAGCUGCCUUCAUGUCCCCAAUGAACUCCCCUCAUACUUCUAUAAAGAAGAUCGAACGAUCUGUAAUUAAGAAGAAUCAAAGUGACGAGCGUAUGGAACAGUUAAACAAAUGGAAGGA